UUUGCGUUCAAUUGAUGUGAGAUAGAGUCUCGCAGUCCUUA
Molecule: transfer RNA, 41 nt
Filed under: Equus sp.
Lineage: Eukaryota; Metazoa; Chordata; Mammalia; Perissodactyla; Equidae
Description: partial tRNA-Ala
Source: RNAcentral